ACUGAACGCUGGCGGCAGGCCUAACACAUGCAAGUCGAGCGGAUGAAGGGAGCUUGCUCCUGGAUUCAGCGGCGGACGGGUGAGUAAUGCCUAGGAAUCUGCCUGGUAGUGGGGGAUAACGUCCGGAAACGGGCGCUAAUACCGCAUACGUCCUGAGGGAGAAAGUGGGGGAUCUUCGGACCUCACGCUAUCAGAUGAGCCUAGGUCGGAUUAGCUAGUUGGUGGGGUAAAGGCCUACCAAGGCGACGAUCCGUAACUGGUCUGAGAGGAUGAUCAGUCACACUGGAACUGAGACACGGUCCAGACUCCUACGGGAGGCAGCAGUGGGGAAUAUUGGACAAUGGGCGAAAGCCUGAUCCAGCCAUGCCGCGUGUGUGAAGAAGGUCUUCGGAUUGUAAAGCACUUUAAGUUGGGAGGAAGGGCAGUAAGUUAAUACCCUGCUGUUUUGACGUUACCAACAGAAUAAGCACCGGCUAACUUCGUG
Molecule: ribosomal RNA, 484 nt
Filed under: uncultured bacterium
Lineage: Bacteria
Description: partial 16S ribosomal RNA
Rfam family: Bacterial small subunit ribosomal RNA
Source: RNAcentral